AGCGAACGCUAGCGGCGGGCCUAACACAUGCAAGUCGAGCGCAUACCUUCGGGUAUGAGCGGCGGACGGGUGAGUAACACGUAGGUAAUCUACCCUUUGGUGGGGAAUAACCCGGGGAAACUCGGGCUAAUGCCGCACGAGGUCUACGGAUCAAAGCCUUCGGGCGCCAGAGGAUGAGCCUGCGUUGCAUUACCUAGUUGGCGGGGUAACGGCCCACCAAGGGGACGAUGCAUAGCUGGUCUGAGAGGAUGAUCAGCCACACUGGGACUGAGACACGGCCCAGACUCCUACGGGAGGCAGCAGUGGGGAAUAUUGCGCAAUGGGGGGAAACCCUGACGCAGCUACGCCGCGUGGGUGAUGAAGGCCUUCGGGUUGUAAAGCCCUGUCGGGAGGGACGAAUUCUGACGGUACCUCCCCAGGAAAGCACCGGCUAACUCCGUGCCAGCAGCCGCGGUAAU
This 458-nucleotide ribosomal RNA is filed under the name uncultured bacterium. Its description in RNAcentral is "bacterial SSU rRNA". It matches the Rfam family "Bacterial small subunit ribosomal RNA", at positions 29 to 524 of the family's 1533-position model. The record is from RNAcentral.